AAAUAACUGGGUUAUUACAUCAUAGUUGUGUCUGAAAAAAAUGUGCUUGCAUGCUUAUUUGGUGUAAAAGCCCCCAUUAAAUUCAUAGAGGUUUCUCCUUUAGUGCUGAUUGGUUAGCGCGCAAUUAAGAUCAUAUUUAAACAGCAGUGACAGGAUUGGAGCAGAGACCUGCAGAAGUUUCAACUGAGUCACGUAUCAUGCUGUCAAUACUUUAAGGGUCUGCCAAAUCAGGCACUGCCAGCAAUGGAGCAUCCUGAAAGAGGAAGUGGCUUCAAAAUGAAGUCGCUCGUGCUCACUUUUUUGUUCCUGGUGAGCUUCAGCAACUCUGUUCCUGUCUCUGAGAAACAUUCUCGUAAAGCUAGAUCUUCAAGCUUUGAGUCUAUGGGAGGAUUUGCACAAGGAAGGUUGACAAAGCCUGUCCGAAGUGCUUUUCCCUACCCUGUCCGAUAUCCAGUCUACAGGUCACAAGCUUCUGCUCUUGGUCACGCUCCUGUACCCCCGCUUAUAGUUCGCCCUCCCAUCCCUCCUCCACCGCCUGCUCCCCGCUUACCUCCCAUCAUAAUUCGUCAGCCUGCCCCUCCCCCCCCUCCUCCCCGGUUACCUCCCAUUAUCAUUUCCCCACCUGCCCCUCCUCCACCAGCACCCCGGCUGCCCCCCAUCAUCAUUCGCGCUCCUGCCCCUCCUCCUCCAGUUCCCCAGCUGCCCCCCAUUAUUGUUCCUGCUCC
This 725-nucleotide long non-coding RNA is filed under the name Lepisosteus oculatus (spotted gar). Its description in RNAcentral is "lncRNA (ENSLOCG00000021568.1)". The record is from RNAcentral. Lineage: Eukaryota; Metazoa; Chordata; Actinopteri; Semionotiformes; Lepisosteidae.